GAUUCGUUCCGAACAGAUGCUUGUCUUUUUUUUUUAUUUGUGUCAUACUUUGACAGCGAAGUAUUAGUCACAACAAGGCGCUGUUUCCGAAAUAUGUCAAUUUUCCCGAGCUUUAGGCUUAACAAGGGUGGCUGUACAGGGUCCUAAAUAUUUGGCUGGGCAUGUUCAAAAAAAGAUUCUGCAAUCAACGCUGCACUGUUUUUGUUCAAAUUUUGCAGAACGAUCGUAUUUUGGCGUCGACUUCGUUUAGUAUGGUAUUUGGCACAGUUAAUUGACUAAGAAAAAUGUGCAAAUUUUCCAGCGCUUAUGGGGAGGCGAGCUACUGCCACGACGGUGCAAGCAUAAACUUGUAUCGCCACCUGUCGUCAUCUGCAGAAAACAGCGUUUCAGGGAGGGCUGCCGCGUGUUGCCCCAUAGAGUUAGUAGAACAACUCUAGAGGAAAAGCUGGGCCGGAAAAGUGGGAACCUCUAGGGCGCCGCCCUGUUGCUACUGGUCAAUGUGGCCAGCGCAAUUACUAUUGAAAGAGCUGAGAACAAGUACAGGUCACCUUAUGCUUUGUCAUCUAAAAACGCAUACCUGAUGGCUUUAUGAAGGUGGUACGUUAAUAUUAAGUUUACAAAAAGCAAUUGAUAAGUCCGUGACUUACGUAAAUCACGAUGUACGCAUUCAUACAAUAAAGGAUGACGCGAAUUUCGGUUUCGAAUCUGUUUUUUGGAUGCGUAGUAGUUUCGUUUGACAUGCGAUCGCGCGUCGACAUCGGACGCUAUGGCACACUCGUGCCUUAUGUGCCACCGAAGCCCCGAAGUGGUCUGGCAUAUACCUUCACAUACAAUGCCUACGCCUAGCCACAGCAGCUCCCUCAUACAGACUCCGCAAGCCAAGAGGCCGUGGAGGCAAAUGCAGGCAGCCAGCACACCUCGAACAGCCACCUUGACUGCGGGUGUGUCACCCUAGUCGCCAAGGAAACAUUUGAGGGAAAGUGACAGGCAAUGUGAACAGCCACUUCUCCAUGUAAACAAUACUCUUUCUCUCGGAUGACUCCUACGCCUCACCACGCCAGCACACUUGUGCACAAAGAUGCCGCAGAGGCACGUGCAGGUCAGAGGCAAGAAGCAGUGGCACUGGUGUCGACAUUUACCCAAUUUCUUUUUCUUACACUGAGGCAGCCAGCACACCUCGAACAGCCACCUUGACUGCGGGUGUGUUAGUAGAUUCCUGUUGUACAUAUGCUCAUAAUAAACUUCAGUAAACUUGAACUUCAUAAUAAACUUGAAGGCAAAUGGGA
Dermacentor albipictus is the source of this 1286-nucleotide non-coding RNA. Lineage: Eukaryota; Metazoa; Arthropoda; Arachnida; Ixodida; Ixodidae. The record is from RefSeq and is a predicted model, not a curated record.